Long non-coding RNA from Heterocephalus glaber (naked mole-rat), 2726 nucleotides. The record is from Ensembl. Lineage: Eukaryota; Metazoa; Chordata; Mammalia; Rodentia; Bathyergidae.
UACUGACAGACUCCUUGGAGUAUGUAUAUAUAAAAUUAUAAACUUGUAUUCAUAUUCAUAUUCUUUUCUGUGAUGUACUAAAAUCCCAAAUGGCUUUUGCACCAUUUUUAAACCUAUUUUUUCCUUUGAUGUUGGUAUCAGAGUUGCUACAAAUGACUGCUGCUUUUGGGGUUAAAUAUUUUGUUACUGAAGUUACAACCAGAACACUAGAUUAUGGCUAAAAUUUUCAGAAUAAGUGGCACAGGUAAAUUUUGUUAGGCUUUAUUCAAAAUUCUCUCAUCAAAUUAUGCCAUUUUUUUUCCAGGAAGAAAAAUGGUUUGCUUUCCGUUGGUAGGUCAUAUAAUUUGUAUAGUGAAGAAAUUCUUUCAUCAAUGUUGUGAUCUUCAUUCGUUCUGCAGUUUUAAAUUUAUCAUAUAUGUAUUAUAGUAAAUAGAUGGUUUUGAGAUUCAAGGCUUCUAAGAGUUUGAUUUGCUCCAUUUUUCCCUUUAAUUCUUUCCUACUAUUAUGUCCUAGGUAUUGUACUUCCAAUUUUAACUUCAGAAUCAAGAUGUCAACAUGAACCAGGCUGCUGUUGAAGUACAUGUAUAUUAUAAAUUAUCUUAUUUGUGUUAUACUGUUUCAUGUUAUUAUCUUUUCUAAGAAAACAAAGUCCCUAUUAUUCCUAUUGCAAAGCACACAGGAAUUAAGAAAGUACAGUAAUUUUUAAAAAAAUUAUCCGGUAAAUGUAGUAUUCUUAACUUGUUCUAUAUUACUUAUACCUGUUGUCUAUAGAGCUUUAAUUUAUAGCUGUCAGUUUAACAUUGGCAUGUCUGGCAAAGAAAAUUAAACUUUAAGAGUUUUAUAAACUGUUUCUAGGUUGCUAAAGAAUUUAUUUUUCUACUAUAUAUGGUAUAGACAAAGCAUCAAAACUAUGUACAGGGAAAAGCCUGACUAUUUCUAUUGGAAGUAGGCUGAAAAGAGAAUUUUCGGAACUGUUCGUGUCUUUGGUUCAUUCUGUCAUAACUUUGCUAUUGUGAUAUGUGAAUCCUGGUUUAUUUAAGCUAUUCAUUUUUAUACUGUGUUAAUUUAACGUUCAUCUACAUUUAGUGCCAUUUUUGUUAUUGAAAUUAGCAUUUACCAUUUUCCACAUUAAUUACCCUUACACCUUUCCCAAAACUUACCUCCACUUUUCUAUGCAUUCUAUCAUUGAUUUGACACACUUCAUAGUGAGUCAUUUAAAUAUUCUACAUUUGGUUCAAUCAACCAGUAGAUUACAGUUUUUGAAAAUUAAAGUAGUUUAAAGCUCAGUCUGUUACACUGAAUUGAUUGUGCUUGUUUUUGCCAAGAGUUUAAAUGUGUUAUUAAAUAUUAGAAAAACAAUUCUAAGAAGAACACAAUAACAGUUAAAAUUUUUUGUGGUAAGUUACUGAAAGUUUUCACUGUUUAGGGACAUACAUGAGCCUUCUUAAAGGAUUUAAAAGAAUAGUAGAUUGUCUUAUAAUUGUGGGUAAACAUUAAGGCAUUAUAUUUUACAAUAUAAAUAAAAUUCCAUCUAUACACAUUGCCAUAUUUCACUUAAAGUCCAGUGCUUAGAGUUAUUACAGUAUUGGACUUACCAGUAUCUAGAUUAGCAAUAUAAAGAAGCAUAGUGGUAUUCUAUUUCAGACUUUCAAUAGAUUUUUUUUAGAAAUCAGAUUGUAUUCAACAAAUACUUACUAGGUAAUACACAAAUAAUUUCAGAACAAAAUUCCAGACACAAUAUAUCUCUCGUUGAAGUGGUAUUUUGAGUAGCCUUUUCCCCCUUAACAUUUACAGUGUAAAUACUGUAGGUAACAGCAAUCUUAACUUAGCCAAAAAGCAGCUUUUAUUUUCCAUUCUAUAUGUAAAUAAUAUAGAUCGCUGUUUUCUUUUUUUUUCUUUUUUGGAUUUUGUUUUGUUUGUUUUUGAGGUACUGGAAUCUAAUUUCUAAUAUCUUAAAAGGGAAUAAUUGGAAUAAAAACUUAGGCCUUAGCUUCCAUGGUGAUUUUUAGUUUUUUAUACAGUAAUAAUUGUGAUGCUAUUUGUCAACUGGAUAUAAAUAUAUAUAUAUAAUUCUAAAAAGUCAAAAGUGGUUUGUUUCUUUGUUUAUAAUUAAUGUAAUUUUGUGCUUCACCCAAAGGAUGCUGCAGUAAAUUAAGUAUCAGUGAAGCUUCUGAUGUACAAAGAGUGCUAUGAAUAAAACAUGAAGAAGCUGUGUAAUUUUAAGUUAUAGUUGCCUCUAUUCUUACCAUUUUGUUGGUAAAAGCUAAUUUUUUUCAAGUAAAAUAUGAAAAAUAAAUUUAUGUCAGUAUGAUGAAAAUUCUAUUAGGGAGAUGUACUGAGCUUUCCCUGUACCAUGAAAGGAGAUCCAAAAUUCACUCUGUAUAUAGAUGAAAAUUGGAUUUUUAAAAUAGGAAAAUGAGAUAAUGCACAGAUUUCUAAAAUUCAGAUGCUAUCUGAAUCUGAAUUGAACUGUGCCUCUAGACAUUCUUGGGUUACUAGGAAAUGCUCUGAAGCCUAUUCUAGUUAUAGCAGAGAUGUUAACCUCAAAGAAUAUAUAUUUGUUUUCUCUUUAUGGUUUGGAAAUACUAAGCCAAACUUUAUGGGUGUAUGCGUUCAGGUUCUUUGGAUCUGAUGAGGUCUGUUUAACUCGAAUCUUUAUCCUAAAUUUAAUUAUUUUAAGUACUUAGUAGGCUGAUCAAUUUGUUUUGUUUUGGUAUGUAUGGGAC